RNAcentral lists this ribosomal RNA (468 nucleotides) under uncultured bacterium. RNAcentral's name for it is "partial 16S ribosomal RNA". It matches the Rfam family "Bacterial small subunit ribosomal RNA", at positions 28 to 507 of the family's 1533-position model. The record is from RNAcentral.
GACGAACGCUGGCGGCGUGCUUAACACAUGCAAGUCGAACGGAAAGGCCCUGCUUUUGUGGGGUGCUCGAGUGGCGAACGGGUGAGUAACACGUGAGUAACCUGCCCUUGACUUUGGGAUAACUUCAGGAAACUGGGGCUAAUACCGGAUAGGAGCUCCUGCUGCAUGGUGGGGGUUGGAAAGUUUCGGCGGUUGGGGAUGGACUCGCGGCUUAUCAGCUUGUUGGUGGGGUAGUGGCUUACCAAGGCUUUGACGGGUAGCCGGCCUGAGAGGGUGACCGGCCAUAUUGGGACUGAGAUACGGCCCAGACUCCUACGGGAGGCAGCAGUGGGGAAUAUUGCACAAUGGGCGGAAGCCUGAGGCAGCAACGCCGCGUGCGGGAUGACGGCCUUCGGGUUGUAAACCGCUUUCGCCUGUGACGAAGCGUGAGUGACGGUAAUGGGUAAAGAAGCACCGGCUAACUACGUG